CUUUCCUCCCCGACAAAAGCCCCUCGUUUUUUUUACUCUGUAGGAACGUCGCCCCAAGCUGCAAACGUGGCAAGGAGUGCCUGAGGGUAAUGUCAGGAGUCAGUCUGCUGUGCAUCUGGUUCUAUCAGUACUUUUAUCUGCCUCUUCCUUCCUUCAGGGGAGUUGGAGAGAGGACAAAACCUUCAGAGCUGGUGGAAGUAAAGGCCCGCUUGUCCUGGAUCUUCCUUAAAUUAACACAGGACAACUCUAAGUUAAACCAGCGUUUGAAACCAGCAAGAUAAAACAGCAGCUCCAAGAAAAUGGAACAACUUCUUGCAAGCGUCCCUAGUAGAGAGCAAAGAAACCUCACCAAUCUGCAAAUAAGGCAGCUCUUUGUUUACCUUAGAAGUAGGUUUCGCUCUUUGUACACUGGAACGAUAUAAAAGAGGCAAAUAACUGAGUGACAAAUCAUCUUCUUCCUUGAGGAACAGCCGCUUUCCACGUGAGUGCAGUACAGCUUUCUGUAGGCUUCCUCAUGUAUUACAGACUGCUACCUCAAAGUGGCUGAGCACAUCCUAUUUGUACAGUAAAAACCAAACAUUAGAAGGCAUAAACAAAGUUGAACAGAUAGUCCCUGAAGAGUAUUUAAAAAUAGGAUUGGGGGAUAAUACAGAUUGGCAGGGGCCUUGGGCAGUCAUCUAAGUUCCUGUUCAAAGCAGUAGAACUUUGUGAAGUUUCACUUUAAUUGCCUCAUGAAGCAUCUUUCCUUUAAUGUUUGUGAAGAAAAAAGGCUGUGAAUUUUCCUCCAUAAGUGUUAUUUUCUGCUGAAUAGUCUUCCAUCUGCAUAAUGGUGGAACAAUAUUUUGUUUUGAAUGUUUAAGUACUGGUUUAACUCAGUAGCCCUUUUUAUAACUCAGAAUAUCUUCCCAGAUGGCUGUCUGAAGAACUGCAUUGUAAGCUGAGAAAGGAGAAGAAGAAGGGAUUGGACAUUACACAAAAUCUGCGUAGCUCAUGAACAGCAACAGCUAAGCUCUGUGAUAAAACAUGUGAACAUCAGGUCCUACAUUUGUGGGUCUCCAUUCUCGCCCAAACAUAAUGCCUGUGACUUGCCAGUUACACUAUAUUUUGCAAACUCAUUUAACCGGAUAGUUUUACUACUGCUUUUGGGGGGUAGAAUGAGCAAGCAACAGCAGUAAAGUCAACUAAAUAUACUUAAGAAGUUAACAUCUCAAAUGAUAUGCACAGAUUUUCCUUAUGAUUGAGUUUCAGCAGUAAUGUACAUUCUUAAAAUACUUUAAAGUUUGGCUCAAAACCUAGUAAGUUCAAGCAUAGAACAGUAGAGUAUUAAAAUGCAAGUGCAAAUUCUCUUCAUGCUCUGUCAUAAAUAAAGCCAAUAUAGGUCCUAUUUCCCUUUACAGAUAGUAAGGAAAUGCUGCUUGCUCUUAUGACACCUCUACACAGUCACUUCUCAAAUGUUUUUACUUCAUUAAAAAAAAAAAAGACAACUGGUUUUCUGUGGGUUUUUACUGUUGCCUGUUUCUGAAAGAAAGUAAGAAAAGGAAUUUUAAGCUGCAACACAAUUAUUGUUCAGGAGUUUCACAAUAAACUCUGUUAUAAAUCUUUCAAGACUACCUUUUGUUUUUCAAAAAAUAUAGUUGGUUUCUUUUGCUUGCUUACAGCAUACACGGAAAGCCUUAUUCACUUCCUGUAGCUAACCCAUGAGGAAGUUUUCCUUCUGUGACUCCUUCUCCAACCCCCUCCAAUCCCUACCAAAGCAGUUCUUUCAAGGCUUUUCAAUCCUGAUGUAAAGGAAUUGAAGGAUUGGAAUAACCUCCAUCUCCUUUGUUCCUGUAGACUUUCAGUUCAUCUACAGUGAUUUCUCUAGGUACGUACACCUUUUUUGCACUCUUGUUUUCCUUUCACCACAGACAGAUAGCAAAUACUAACACAACUGCUUGACAGCUAUCUCCAGAUUCCCUCAGCAUACCAAUUUGAUGGCUUAACAUUAGCCUGAAGCGACGCACUGUGACUGACAAUGUGUGAUUUAGCCCCAGGUGAUGCAACCACAGCAGUAGCACUGAAUAAGAAGGGGAUCCUUCUUGCGCUGUUUCAGAAUAGCAGCUCAUCAGCACGCUUAAAAUGGCACCGGGCACUCAUGCUGAGGCAGCUGAAAGUUACACAAGUGUCUUCUGGAGCCAGGACAGCGGGUCAUCCAAGGUGAAUGCUUAAUGACCAGUCAGCCAAAUGACUGUGCAGGAUCAGGCAACUACACGAGGAAUUCAGACUCUAAGCAUCCUAACUUGGAGCUGAACUACUCAUACUGCACUGAAGAGCAGUAGAGGGUUCCCUUACUUUAGACAUAUCCAAAAUGUUUCUUGUUCUCAGCAAUGUUUACGUCAACUACCUGGGAAAAAUGCUUGGCCUGAAAUUGCCAUUCACUUCUGCUCCUUUUCAUGUUCAUUGAGUGUCCAUGCUUAUUUUAAGAUGUAAUUCUUUAGGCCUUCACACCAAUUAAAAUUUUAAGCAUAUAAUUGAUAAUUCGCUGGAAAAAAAUGAAAAGCCAUGACACACAGAUAUUUCCCAGCAUGCUGACAGUGGGUGAGAUCUUGAUGUAGAAGGCAGAGACCACAAGGCAAAGCACGAGGAUAAUACAGGAGAACUCCAUAAUUAUACCUCUUACUGCAUAUGCCCUUCACUGAUUCUUUAGGACAGUCUUUGACAAACUGGAAGGAGAAGCAAGGAAAAGGGAGAACAUACCUGGUUUUAGGUCAUGUCCAAAUUCCUGCUAUAUUCACUAAAACGGUCCAGAUAAUCCAAUAAAAGGAAAAAAGCUAGGAAUUAUUCCUCUUAGAAAAUUAAAGUACCACGGCAAAUAAAUGUUCCAGGAUUGAUGGAUGGUUUUUCUUUUCUUUUUAAACUAAAUAGUAGUUUAAUUCUAGUAGUUUAAUAGAAGUGCUUGUUAUAUGUUGGUUCCCAACACUAUAUUAGACUGUUGUAUGAUGUCAGAAAGAAUGUAGAGGCCCACAGACAUGUCUGGUGAGUGAAGAUGUACCUUCUCAUCUGAAGAAGUGUUGUUGCUCAUAAAGCAAGUCCGAGAGCCUCUUACCAAAAUACCAAUUCCAAGAGCUCCCCAUUUUAGGCAAUCUACGUUCUCACCCAUGUGUCUUUUGACACGUCCUCUGGCAAGGACCUGAAUGUUCUUAUUUGAUAGUUUUGCAGGUUCUUCCCUGAAGUACAUAGCACAACACACUACUCAGUACCUGCCAGCACAGCAUCAGAAAUGAGCUCAUUUCCUCACAAACAUCAGCCAAAUAGCUGCUUACCUUUGGGAGGUCUUGAGACUAGCCUAGGUUAAAUCUAAAGAUGCUUUUUAGCUACAGCCAUCAUCAGAGCAACCAACUUCUGGAAGAGGGAAAGCGACAGGUUAAAGCCUUUACUUAUAAAACUGAAAUUGUCAAAGAAAAUGAAUAUAUCUUCUGGGGUUUAUCAGUAGGAUUUUUGUUGUCUUUUUUUUGUUGUUUUGUUUUGUUUUUGUUUUUGUUUUUUUAAGAGCAACACUUUACUCAGAAGUUUUAGGAAGGUAUUCACAUGAAGUUUAGGAGCUUUUCUAAUUCUGCACAGCUUAAUCUUAUUCAUUAACUACCAAAAAUAAAACGAUAAAAAAACC
This is a long non-coding RNA of Meleagris gallopavo (turkey), 3646 nucleotides long. NCBI's taxonomy places the organism in Eukaryota, Metazoa, Chordata, Aves, Galliformes, Phasianidae. The record is from Ensembl.